Molecule: ribosomal RNA, 255 nt
Filed under: uncultured bacterium
Lineage: Bacteria
Description: partial 16S ribosomal RNA
Rfam family: Bacterial small subunit ribosomal RNA
Source: RNAcentral
UACGUAGGGUGCAAGCGUUGUCCGGAAUUAUUGGGGCGUAAAGAGCUUGUAGGCGGUUUGUCGCGUCUGCUGUGAAAUUUCGGGGCUCAACCCCGAACUUGCAGUGGGUACGGGCAGACUAGAGUGUGGUAGGGGGAGACUGGAAUUCCUGGUGUAGCGGUGAAAUGCGCAGAUAUCAGGAGGAACACCGGUGGCGAAGGCGGUUCUCUGGGCCUUACCUGACGCUGAGGAGCGAAAGCGUGGGGAGCGAACAGG